This 824-nucleotide long non-coding RNA is filed under the name Cricetulus griseus (Chinese hamster). RNAcentral describes it as "lncRNA (ENSCGRG00015037798.1)". The record is from RNAcentral. Lineage: Eukaryota; Metazoa; Chordata; Mammalia; Rodentia; Cricetidae.
UGAGCCUUCUCUCCAGCCCAACCUACCUAGUUCCUUAAAAUAGAUUCUUAGAUUAUUAGUGGAGGACUUUCUUCUUUUCUAACAACCCAUUUAAAAAACUAUACUUUUCACACUGGGGAUUGCUUUUAGAGGCAUCCCACAGAUUAUAUUUUGUUCUCAUUAAUAUUUGACUCUAAAUGUUUUCCAGUUUUCCUUGUGAUUUCUCUCUCUUACUCAUGGGCUAUUUAGAAGAAGAGAGAUGUCAGCUGGGUGUAGUGGUACACAGCUGCAAAACCAACACUUGGAGGAUGAAGGUGGGAGGAUUAGAAAUCCAAGAUCAGCUGCAGCUACUUCUGGAGUUUAAGACCAGGCUGAGCUUCAUGAGCACCCGCCUCAUAAAAACAUGGGUUCAGUUUCAUCCCGAGCACCCACAUCAAACAGCUGCCCAAGUCUCAUUGCCCACACUGGUCUCAAACUCUUCAUGAAGUCAAACUCCCAAGUGCUGAGAUUAAAGGUGCAGUGAUUACAAAUAUGUAACAUCAUGGCCAGCUUUACAUGGGCUCUGAGGAUCUAAACUCCGGUCCUCAAAUGUGAGCAGCAUUUGCUUUACCCAUCGAACCCUCUCCUCAGCCCUGUGCCAGCCAGCUUUUGUUUAUGGUGGGUGCUGAACAUUUGGACUGCUUCCAUUCUGAGGAAAUUAUGAAUGACACGAAGUCCUGGCAUCCCCAGCACUGCAUAAACCUGCUGAAGAAGUGUAAGCCUGUAAAUCCCAGGAGGAACAGAAGUUCAAGAGCAUCCUUUGUUACAAAUGGAAUCUGAGGCCAGCCCCAGUUAGAGACUCUGUC